Molecule: ribosomal RNA, 536 nt
Filed under: uncultured bacterium
Lineage: Bacteria
Description: bacterial SSU rRNA
Rfam family: Bacterial small subunit ribosomal RNA
Source: RNAcentral
ACUCAAUAGAUACCCCGGUAGUCCACGCCCUAAACGAUGUCUACUAGUUGUUGGUGGAGUAAAAUCCAUGAGUAAACGCAGCUAAACGCGUGAAGUAGACCGCCUGGGGAGUACGGUCGCAAGAUUAAGACUCAAAGGAAUUGACGGGGGCCCGCACAAGCGGUGGAUUAUGCGGAUUAAUUCGAUGCAACGCGAAAACCUUACCUGGCCUUGACAUGCCACUAACGAAGCAGAGAUGCAUUAGGUGCCCGUAAGGGAAAGUGGACACAGGUGCUGCAUGGCUGUCGUCAGCUCGUGUCGUGAGAUGUUGGGUUAAGUCCCGCAACGAGCGCAACCCUUGCCAUUAAUUGCCAUCAUUUAGUUGGGCACUUUAAUGGGACUGCCGGUGACAAACCGGAGGAAGGUGGGGAUGACGUCAAGUCCUCAUGGCCCUUAUGGCCAGGGCUUCACACGUAAUACAAUGGUCGGUACAGAGAGUUGCCAACCCGCGAGGGGAGCUAAUCUCAGAAAGCCGAUCGUAGUCCGGAUUGUUCUCU